UACAGAGGGUGCAAGCAUUGUUCGGAAUCAUUGGGCGUAAAGGGCGCGUAGGUGGCUUCUUAAGCGUGCGGUGAAAGCCUGGGGCUCAACCCCGGGUCGGCCGUGCGAACUGGGGGGCUGGAGCACUGUAGAGGCAGGCGGAAUUCCGGGUGUAGCGGUGGAAUGACGUAGAGAUCCGGAAGAACACCGGUGGCGAAGGCGGCCGCUGGGCAGUGCUGACACUGAGGCGCGACAGCGUGGGGAGCAAACAGGG
RNAcentral lists this ribosomal RNA (253 nucleotides) under uncultured bacterium. Its description in RNAcentral is "partial 16S ribosomal RNA". It matches the Rfam family "Bacterial small subunit ribosomal RNA", at positions 524 to 777 of the family's 1533-position model. The record is from RNAcentral.